This 408-nucleotide ribosomal RNA is filed under the name uncultured cyanobacterium. Its description in RNAcentral is "bacterial SSU rRNA". It matches the Rfam family "Bacterial small subunit ribosomal RNA", at positions 365 to 788 of the family's 1533-position model. The record is from RNAcentral. Lineage: Bacteria; Bacillati; Cyanobacteriota.
UCCGCAAUGGGCGCAAGCCUGACGGAGCAAGACCGCGUGCGGGAGGACGGUCUGUGGAUUGUAAACCGCUUUUGUCAGGGAAGAAGAUCUGACGGUACCUGACGAAUCAGCAUCGGCUAACUCCGUGCCAGCAGCCGCGGUAAUACGGAGGAUGCAAGCGUUAUCCGGAAUUAUUGGGCGUAAAGCGUCCGUAGGUGGUUGAUCAAGUCUGCUGUCAAAGGCUGGAGCUUAACCUCAUACAGGCAGUGGAAACUGGUGAGCUAGAGUGCGGUAGGGGUAGAGGGAAUUCCCAGUGUAGCGGUGAAAUGCGUAGAGAUUGGGAAGAACAUCAGUGGCGAAAGCGCUCUGCUGGGCCUGCACUGACACUGAGGGACGAAAGCUAGGGGAGCGAAAGGGAUUAGAUACCCC